AUGCAUUUAUUAAGACAAAAAGGAAUUAAACAAGGGUCAAAUUUAUACCCUAAUCAGAAUGUGACAGUAAAAAAUGAAGAAGGAGUAACAGAUAUAUUAGAGUUAAUGGAAGGAACAUAUUAUGAAGAAGAAGCGAAAAUUAAAAACAAAGACGAGUAUAAUAACGGAAGUGAUGAUGAAGACAGUGAAACAUAUUUUGAUGAUUUUAAUUAUGAAUUUAAUGAAAAAGAAAAAAAAAAAAAAAAAACAAUCAACGAAUCAAUUAAUAACACAGACUAUUUUAAUAAUAACACUCAAAAUAAUAAUAAUAAUUAUUUUAAUAAAUAUGGUGAUAUUUAUAAUGAUAAAAAAGAAAGUGAUAUAUCUGAUCCUUUUAAUACACAAAAUAUGAAUGGAAAUAUGAACGAAAAUAUGAAUGGAAAUAUGAACGAAAAUAUGAAUGAAAAUAUAAAUGAAAAUAUGAAUGAAAAUAUUAAUAAUAUAUUUAUUUCAAAAAAAAAUAAAAACUUACCAUUAUUUUUUUCUAUAAGUAAUAAAUUUAUCGAAAAUAGUAAUAAUAAAUAUUUUAAUAAAAUUUGUACUAUACCUCCAAAUGAAUUAAUCAAUAGAUUUUUUGAAAAUAGUCCAGAACGAGUAAAAGAAGCUGUAAAAAAUAUUUUAUUUAAUAUAAUGGGUAAUAUUCAAAAAUAUGCAAUCGAAACAUUUAUACUGAUGAGUUAUGAAAAAUUAUAUAACUUUCUUUUACAAAUUAUUUUAACUGGAUAUAUGUUAAAAAAUGCUGACUAUCGUCUAAGUCUGAACGAAUCACUUUACGAACAAAACAAUUUAACACAAAAUAAAAAAGAAAAAAAUGUUUCGAAAUUAAAAAAAAUAUUUUAUACUUUAUUUAAUGAUAGUAUAAAUUAUAAAAAUAAUAAUAAUAAUAAUAAUAAUAUUAAUAAUAAUAAUAAUAAUAAUAAUAAUAUUAAUAAUAAUAAUAAUAAUAAUAAUAUUAAUAAUAAUAUUAAUAAUAAUAUUAAUAAUAAUAUUAAUAAUAAUAAUAAACAAACUUUUAACGCAGCUGAAUUAUUAGCAAAAUAUCAUGAAAUAUAUGGUAAUAAAAAAGAAAACACAAAUAAAAAAAUUAAUGUUGAAGCACAGGAGGAAGAAAAGAAUCUUACUGUUAUAGAAGACAAUAACGAACAAAAUCAACAAAGGGAUGAAAGUAGUAAAAGUAAUGCAAGAAAUGGUACAACUGUAAAUACUAGUAAAACUUCAAAUGAUAUACAAAACAUAACAGAUGAAUAUCCCAUUAUAAAUUCUAAAAAUUAUAUUUUAUUUUUAAGGAAAAAAAUAAAUUCAUUAGAAGAAGAAUUAAAAAAAACAAAACAAAAUAAAAAAUUUACAGAUGAUGAUAUACUUUCUUAUAUAAAGUCAUUAACUGAUGUACAACUUCGUUCACUAACAGAUAAUGUAGGUUCAUUGGUUUUAGAUGCGACUAAAAAAAUAGUUGAACUCGUAAUACAAGGUAUGACACUAAAUGUUAAUAAAAAAUUAACAAACGAAUUAAUAUAUAUUAAUGGUUCAGCUUUAACAUAUAUUUGUUUUUUGGCAGUUAAUUAA
This 1602-nucleotide long non-coding RNA is filed under the name Piliocolobus tephrosceles (Ugandan red Colobus). RNAcentral describes it as "lncRNA (ENSPTEG00000001983.1)". The record is from RNAcentral. Lineage: Eukaryota; Metazoa; Chordata; Mammalia; Primates; Cercopithecidae.